GGAGAGAUGGCAGAGUGGACGAAUGCGGCGGUCUCGAAAACCGUUAUCCCUUCGGGGAUCGGAGGUUCGAAUCCUCCUCUCUCCG
RNAcentral lists this transfer RNA (85 nucleotides) under Candidatus Omnitrophota bacterium. Its description in RNAcentral is "Candidatus Omnitrophica bacterium (groundwater metagenome) tRNA-Ser". It matches the Rfam family "tRNA". Rfam says of the family: Transfer RNA (tRNA) molecules are approximately 80 nucleotides in length. Their secondary structure includes four short double-helical elements and three loops (D, anti-codon, and T loops). Lineage: Bacteria; Pseudomonadati; Candidatus Omnitrophota. The record is from RNAcentral.